UUCUUUCACACGCUCCUUUGAUUUUGGUCAAUCCAAACCAUAAUUGUUCAUCUCUCUCCAAUCAAUCCAAACCCUAAUUGUUCGCCUGUAUACGUUUCAUCUUUCUCAAAUUCAUCUAUCUCAAAGUCCAAACCUAAAUGUGAAGAAAAAAAUAAGCCAAUGGAUCUUCAGUUGAUUUCUCAAACUCAAACCCUAAUGGCGAUUUCUCAAACUCAAUUCCUAAUGGCGUUGCGAAGAAAAAUCUAAGCCAACCGAUUGGAUCUUCUGUUGAUUAUUCUUUUUCUAAUCUUCUAUGAAUCAUGGUCCCUAAACCAAGGGAUCUUUUAGUUAACAACUUUUUGUAAGCACAGCCCGUUACAACAAUAGUAUUGUUUUUCGAAAAAGUGAUUUGGGAGAAUGAGAACGUAGAACGGGUUUAACUGAUUGUGAGUAGAUGGUUGUAUCUCUCUCUCUGUUCCAUCACAACCUAAGAUCUCAGUCUAAAGCAACCAGCAAAAGAUAUAAAAACAAGAUUGUUGCCAUUAAACUUGUGAAUAAAGGCGAUACGCCUGAGGAGAUAGCGAAGACAGAAGGGCGUUUCGUGCGAGAAGUAGCAAUGUUAUCGAAAGUGCAACACAAGAAUUUAGUAAAGUUUAUCGGAGCCUGCAAGGACCCUGUGAUGGUCAUAGUAACCGAGCUUCUUACCGGUGGAACUUUAAGAAAAUACUUGGUUAAUAUGAGGCCGAACGGGUUGGAUACACAUGUUCCUAUAGGGUUUGCACUUGAUAUUGCGCGUGCAAUGGAGUGUUUACACUCGCAUUGAAUAAUUCACCGGGACUUAAAACCAGCCGAUCACAAAUCAGUGAAACUCACUGAUUUUCGUUUGGCAAUAGAAGAAUUGUUAACAGAGAUGAUGACUGCAUAAACCGGAACCUAUCGAUGGAUGGCUCCCGAGCUUUACAGCGCGGUAACAGUUAGGUAAGGAGAAAAAAAGCAUUAUAACCACAAAGUCGACGCGUACAGCUUUGCAAUUGUAUUGUGGGAACUCAUACACAAGUUACCAUUCGAAGGCAUGUCAAACCAACAGGCUGCCUAUGCAGCCGCUUUCAAGAAACUAAAGGAUGGCUAGAUGGUGUAAAUUGAUGAAAUGAUUGAUACGGUACAGUACUAUUAUAUAAUUGGGCCGAGAAUGCAGAUGCACAUGAUUCCCUAGCUGUAGAACAGGUGAUUGAUUGAAGUUCACAACAAAAUUCGAGCUUUCAUUUGAAACACUAUACCUGGCAAUUAAUAUAGUUGGCAGUUUCUUGGCUUCUGAAAGUGUUACAAUUGUUUGUAUAUGAAUUCAGCUCAUAUUUGUGGCUGUGAUGUAGUUCAUAUGGUUUGAUAUUUUUGAGUUUUUAGUGGUUUUGUUGAUAAAUGUGAUUCAGUGUAGUGUAUGGACCACUUAAUAGAUUUCGAAGGCCAUGUAAGUGUUUUUGUUUUAGUAUUUGAUCAUGUUGUUCUUAAAUUAUAUUGCAACUCUGGGGUUUUAUCAUAGUUAAGUUAUAGUUUUUGUUAUACAACUAGAAUUGUUGUGCAAGUAUGUAUAUAUGUGUUUUGUGUAUUGUAUAUUAUGUUCUUGAAUUUUGAUGUCAUGAUGUGUUAUAGUGGUUCAGUAAUGUUUAGAACUAUGGUUUUUUUUCUUGAUUAUUAUCUUAGAUCAUGUUCUUUUUUUUAAAUCUAAAUCGUUAGCUGUUAUUAUUUGUGAUCAUGUUAUGUUAUACUUCUAACCCCAAGAACAUGACCCGGUACAUCGAUGUACUAGGUUGUCAUGUCAUGAUUUUUUUAUUGUAUAUACGUGAACGUAUAUUUGUGAGGUGUUGAAAACACAAAUUUUCAUGUAUUUGCUAUUCACGGGCUUUAAGGAGUCACGAGGAAAUGAUGAGAGGCCAUAGAGAAGAGAAAGAAAGUCUGAUUUUGAAAACUCGAAAGAUUAUAGGAGAACAAGAAUUGGUUUACUGAAACAAAAACCCGGAAAAGUGAUGGGUGAGUCAUCUUGGUUUCAAUUAAUGCGUUCAGAUAAGUACUCAUUUUGGAGGAAUUGCUACCCGAAAAACUUGAUUAUCAUAUGAUGUUGAGAUGGUUUACCGCUCGACUUUCUGGUAGAAAUAUCUAGAAAGAAAGAGAACCAACAGAGAGAGAGAGGUGGAGAGAAAACUGAUCGUCCCGUUCUGGAGAUGAUAGUGAUGAUGGUACAGAUUCCUGUGAUCGUCCGGUUCUGGUGAUAUGUCUUUAGGCGACGACAGCUAACAACGGCGGUAGCGUUUGGUUUGAAGAUUGAUGUUGUUGCAGGGGAAGACAGUGAUAAUGGCGUUGGUUUGGUUCGAAGACGGGUAAACAGAGGUGGGUUCCGGUGAUGAAGUCAGCGGUGGUCCGAUAAUGAUUAUGGUGGUGUUGUUAACUACGAUGGUGGCAGUUAUGAUUAGGUUCCAAUAAAUCAACAAGGUUUCUGACAAGGGCUCCAAUGGUGACUGUGAUGUUGUUGUGAUGGUUAUCGGUCGCGGCGAUGGUUUUUUGACGAAAAAGGUUAGACCCGAUUGAAUAAUUUUGUAUAACCGAUUAAAUGUAACCUUUUUAGGCCAGAAUUGAGGUUGGUGAUUGAGCAGCAAGUAUGAUGGUGAUUUCAGUAAUUAAAAGGUGACUGCUGGUGGUAAGGCAGGCCGUCGGCCAUGGUGUUUUAUGGUGAGGUUUAAGGUGUGGACCCGCGGUAGUGCACAGUGGUGAUGGUUGUUGGAAAACAGUGGUGAUAGAUGUUGGAAUGAACUGCGAUGGUUAAUUGUGUGAGUGUUGUUGAUGGGUUGACUAGCUUGGAUGAUGGAUACAAAAAGAGGUUUACACAAUGGUUGGAGUGGUGAUCUUUGACAGGUGUUGUUUCCGUCGACAUAACCGCUGGAAGUCGGAUGACAAGUGGUGGUUACAUGGUGGUCACGGUGUGGUUGUCGAUGGUUGUGAUUUGGAUGAUAAACGUGUGGUGACCGGAAGCUAGGAGUCUUAUAAGGUCUCUAUAGAGACGGCUCAACACUUAAUUAACUCGGUCAACUAUCGUAAACGUAGACGAGACGGGUCAGAUUUGUUCAACAAUAGAAAUGGAGGAUUCAAAGAGCUAUAAACAAAAACAUUCGAACUAAGAAAACAAUUAAUUGUUUAAUAAUUUGUAUAAGCGUUUGUUCGGAAUCGGUUGGUUGUUUAGUUUCAAGUGUGUGUUCGUUUUAUUGCUUACGUUUUCUCUCAUCUUACUGCGGAUUUUUCGAUCUUUAAUUUGCAUCAUACACAAUUUAUAUUUGAUGAAAUGGCUUCAAUUAAGCACAGUGGUGAGUAGUUUUGUUAAUUUUAGGGAUCUCAAUACUGUGAUUAGGUUUCUUAGGGAUUCUGUUUCAUUUAUUUUUGAAUUUAAAUUUAAUUUUGAUUUGACUGUUAUGAUAUUGUUACGGAAGAAGUGAGAAUUAUAUUAUUUUUUCUGUGGUGGUUAAGAGAUUAGAAUUCAAAUGGUAUGAAAUAAAAAAAAGUUGUUGAAUAACGAGUUUGUUGGAUGCAUAGCUGCUUUGCUCUAUCUACUUUUAUUGAUUUGUACAGGUAAUAUUCGUGUCUAUAUCUUUCCUCACAUAAGUUUGUUUUUCUUUUAAAUUGCUACUCUGUUUAUUAAAAUAAAUUGUUCCACUUAAUCAUCAUUAUGUUUAAAAGAUAUUAACAAGCUUAGGUUGGCAUAGGG
Long non-coding RNA from Helianthus annuus (common sunflower), 3727 nucleotides. RefSeq lists it as uncharacterized. Lineage: Eukaryota; Viridiplantae; Streptophyta; Magnoliopsida; Asterales; Asteraceae. The transcript has 8 exons. The record is from RefSeq and is a predicted model, not a curated record.